RNAcentral lists this small nuclear RNA (101 nucleotides) under Chinchilla lanigera (long-tailed chinchilla). The record is from RNAcentral. Lineage: Eukaryota; Metazoa; Chordata; Mammalia; Rodentia; Chinchillidae.
AAGCUGGCUUCGGCAGCACAUAUACCAGAAUUGGAACGAGACAGAGAUUAGCAUGGCCCCUGCGCAAGGAUGGGUUCCGAUUCCAGGUUCUCCCCAUCUUG